UACGGAGGGUGCAAGCGUUAUCCGGAUUCACUAGGGUUAAAGGGUCCGUAGGCGGUUUGGUAAGUCAGUGGUGAAAGCCCAUCGCUCAACGGUGGAACGGCCAUUGAUACUGCUAGACUUGAAUUAUUAGGAAGUAACUAGAAUAUGUAGUGUAGCGGUGAAAUGCUUAGAGAUUACAUGGAAUACCAAUUGCGAAGGCAGGUUACUACUAAUGGAUUGACGCUGAUGGACGAAAGCGUGGGUAGCGAACAGG
This 253-nucleotide ribosomal RNA is filed under the name uncultured bacterium. Its description in RNAcentral is "partial 16S ribosomal RNA". It matches the Rfam family "Bacterial small subunit ribosomal RNA", at positions 524 to 776 of the family's 1533-position model. The record is from RNAcentral.